Molecule: long non-coding RNA, 720 nt
Organism: Photinus pyralis (common eastern firefly)
Lineage: Eukaryota; Metazoa; Arthropoda; Insecta; Coleoptera; Lampyridae
Exons: 3
Source: RefSeq, a predicted model, not a curated record
GUCAAGUCUCGUGUGGUAUUUUUGCCCCAUCCUGUGAGCUCAAUCAAGAUGGACUUUAACGAAGAAAAACCAUUUUUUUAUGUGAACAAUUGUACCUGACUCAAAUGCCAGUAUGGAUAACUCCUGAUCCUAAACUAUUUACCCUUCCUGUACGUCCCUGGCAUUUAAUAAACGAUAAUAAGUGAAAGGUUGUUUUUUUAUCCUGACAUCACCUUUUUGAAUGGAACACCCUGUAUUUUUAAUCUUUGGACGAUAUUAAAAUAUUCUCUUCAUAAGUUGUAAUACCAGUUUGGUGUUAUAUUUUGGAAACGAAUUUAAUGUACCUUUUUAGAUUAAUAUAUACAGGGUGUUCCUUUUUAAAAAUUAGCGUUUUUCCACAAAUUUUUUUACCUGAUCCCUUCUACUUAUUCUAGGAACUGCCACAUGCGACGUGGAUAAUAGUUUUUUUAAUAGCAUUAUCGAUUACGGAGAUGACUAUUGCAAAUAUGAGACACCCUGUACCCAUUUGUACAGGAAAAAGUUGUUAUUUUUAUGUUUAUUUUACAGUCAAAUCUAGAGUGGUGUUUUUGCCCCAUCCUGUGAGCUCAAUCACGGUCGCCAAUCAAAGAUGGACUUUACGAAGAAAAACCAUUUUUUUAUGUGAACAAUUGUACCUGAGUCAAAUGCCAGUAUGGAUAACUCCUGAUCCUAAACUAUUUACCCUUCCUGUACGUCCCUGGC